Molecule: ribosomal RNA, 29 nt
Filed under: Coprinellus curtus
Lineage: Eukaryota; Fungi; Basidiomycota; Agaricomycetes; Agaricales; Psathyrellaceae
Also listed under: 7 other names
Description: partial 18S ribosomal RNA
Source: RNAcentral
ACCUGCGGAAGGAUCAUUAACGAAUAACU